This 333-nucleotide small nuclear RNA is filed under the name Echinops telfairi (small Madagascar hedgehog). Its description in RNAcentral is "7SK RNA (ENSETEG00000025958.1)". It matches the Rfam family "7SK RNA". From Rfam's summary of the family: 7SK was discovered as an abundant small nuclear RNA in the mid-70s but a possible function has only recently been suggested. Lineage: Eukaryota; Metazoa; Chordata; Mammalia; Afrosoricida; Tenrecidae. The record is from RNAcentral.
GGAUUGUGAGAGCGAUCUGGCUAUGAAAUCUUCCAUCCCAUUGAUUGCCAGGGUUAAUUUGGCUGAUGUUCCUGGCUACAGGAGUGUUCUCUGCCCCCUCCCCACUCCAUGUCCAUCCCUCCUGAGACAGUGAACGUAGUUGGAGAGGACUACCUUCCCACAGAAAACGGGACAGUCCUUGAGUCAAGGGUAUACAAGUAGCUGCACCCCACUACCAGAACCCUCCAGGUCCAAUAUAGCAUUGCCAUUUUUUCCCAAUUUGGGGGUUCUUUUUUUAAUGUAUUGAUAAAGUAUUUAGAUGUAUAUAAAUUUCAUGUUUUAAGGGGUCUCCAU